AGACCUCAGGUCAGGCGGGGCUACCCGCUGAGUUUAAGCAUAUCAAUAAGCGGAGGAAAAGAAACUAACAAGGAUUCCCCUAGUAACGGCGAGCGAACCGGGAAGAGCCCACCAUGAGAAUCGGUCGCCCUAGGCGUUCGAAUUGUAGUCUGAAAAAAGCGUCA
RNAcentral lists this ribosomal RNA (164 nucleotides) under Caragana leucophloea. RNAcentral's name for it is "partial 28S ribosomal RNA". It matches the Rfam family "Eukaryotic large subunit ribosomal RNA", at positions 1 to 164 of the family's 3401-position model. Lineage: Eukaryota; Viridiplantae; Streptophyta; Magnoliopsida; Fabales; Fabaceae. The record is from RNAcentral.